Molecule: non-coding RNA, 361 nt
Organism: Paramuricea clavata
Lineage: Eukaryota; Metazoa; Cnidaria; Anthozoa; Malacalcyonacea; Plexauridae
Source: the annotation of a GenBank genome assembly
AUCAAAACAACACAUACAAGUCAAAUUCAAAAUUUUCAGUUUUAAUCGUGAUUUUUAUGCAGAAAUAUUGUAGGAAAGUCGCCACAAUGAAGAAUACGUAUAAAAAAGCUCCUUAGAGUAACAUUCGGAUAAAAUUAUGGUAAAAAAAUCCCCAAAGCCUGAGCUAUCUGGGCUGGAAGAAUGUCCGGAUGGGAGCCAUGGGAGUAUGGGACCGCUCAGUCUCAGAGCCAAAGGAUCAUAAAGAAGUCUCGCAAAUUACGCAAAAAGAUGGCACUGAGUAAAGACGGUGGUGUUGAAACUAGCUAAGAUAUUGUGAAAGAAUUGUAAAGUUGGCUAGUGUGAAACAAACUAGACUGAAAGG